Molecule: ribosomal RNA, 866 nt
Filed under: uncultured archaeon
Lineage: Archaea
Description: bacterial SSU rRNA
Rfam family: Archaeal small subunit ribosomal RNA
Source: RNAcentral
GGACCUUACUGCUAUCGGGGGAGGACUAAAACAUGCAAGUCGUGCGCCUCCAAGCUAUGAUGGAGACGCGGCGUACAGCUCAGUAACACGUGGCUAACCCCACCCUUGAGACGGAGACAACCCCGGGAAACUGGGGCUAAUCCCUGAUAGGAGAAGACACCUGGAAGGGGUCUUCUCCCAAAAGGCGCUUAGAUCAUGCUUCUAGACGUCGCUCAAGGACGGGGCCGCGGCCGAUCAGGUUGUUGGUGAGGCAAUGGCUCACCAAGCCUAUAACCGGUACGGGCCGUGAGAGCGGGAGCCUGGAGAUGGGCACUGAGACAAGGGCCCAGGCCCUACGGGGCGCAGCAGUUGCGAAAACUCCGCAAUGCACGAAAGUGUGACGGGGCUACCCCGAGUGCCGUCCGCUGAGGGCGGCUUUUCCCCGGUGUAAGGAGCCGGGGGAAUAAGGAGAGGGCAAGUCUGGUGUCAGCCGCCGCGGUAAUACCAGCUCUCCGAGUGGUAGGGAUGAUUAUUGGGCUUAAAGCGUCCGUAGCCGGCCUAGCAAGUCUUCCGUUAAAUCCACCGAUUCAAUCGUUGGACUGCGGGAGAUACUGUUGGGCUAGGGGGCGGGAGAGGCCGACGGUAUUCUCGGGGUAGGGGUAAAAUCCUAUAAUCCCGGGAGGACCACCAGUGGCGAAGGCGGUCGGCUAGAACGCGCUCGACGGUGAGGGACGAAAGCUGGGGGAGCGAACCGGAUUAGAUACCCGGGUAGUCCCAGCUGUAAACGAUGCGGGCUAGGUGUUGGGGCGGCUACGGGCCGCUUCAGUGCCGCAGGGAAACCAUUAAGUCCGCCGCCUGGGGAGUACGGUCGCAAGGCUGAAACUUAA